GUCUUCCUUUAACUUCCCUCUAGUAUUUCAGCAUCCUUCUUGCAGAUACCUCUUGGUACUCUGAGCGCAGCGGUUUGAUCCAGUUUGUUUUGCCAAAGUGAAAACAGCUGUGACAUGAGGGAGAGAGAGUUGUUGGAUAAACAAAACAAUUCUUGUUUGGGUUUAUAUUUUUAAACUUACCUACUUCCAGUAAUUGUUGUUUCUUUUGCUUCUCUGAAGGGAAUAAAUUGUGUUUAAUAGGUAAACAACCAUGCACUUGACUUACAUGAGAAGCAGCUACCAGGCUAUGCUUGCUCCUUCGUGCCUAGACGUCUGCGAUCCAAUCUGUCUGUCCAGGAACAGCUAUAGACUUGCUGUUCUCGCUGCUGACACUUCAGCUGACGGGAAUCAGAAUUCAUAUGGUACUGCAUCCCCCUGCAGAAACAAAGGCAAGCGCAAAUUUACAUGAACCUUUGUGAAUGUUUGAUCUAGCACAGUGCAUCGCUGAACAAUCUACAGUCGUAAACCAGUCUUCUAGGGACAGAAAUCCACAUCCACAAGAGGUCAAGUCCAGUCGUAGGAAGUUAAACUGUGGAGUAUCCAUGCUGGCAAUCCUAUUGUGGCUACCUGGGAAGAGUUUGAUACAGGUUGAAGAAUGUGUCAGCACGAAGUUCUUGCAUAAAGAUCAUUACCCUGUUUCUGGCUGGCUUGAAAGUUCUCCUGCAUUCUUGUUUGCCGUGAAGAUUAUUAGCAGAUGAAAUUCUGCAUGCUCAGAAAUAAUCCGGCUGGUACCCUUGCACAGGGCCAUGUAUCCGGACAGCGUGCCAGGCGGAGAUCCGUGACAUCCCUAAGGAAGAGCAAGGCUGUUGGCCAGCAGCGUCUCACAAGUUAAUGCUCGGGUGUAGAUUGGGAAAAAGAGACUGGCUUUUCCACACCACUGCAGCCAGGAGUGCAGCUUCGGUGAGAAGUAGGUGCUCAUCUUCACCACAAAUUCUGUUACCGGUGACCACGUGGAGCGCUCAGCGAUGCAGAAUCGUGCGGGGACGUGAAGCUCUUCCAAGUGUGUAGGAAAACUGGAUGAAAAGCUAGGAAAAGGUUUGUUGGUGCUGUUUGCUGCUUUUUUCCAGAGACGACUCCUUAAAUGCCUUGCCGUGUUGGGUGGAAGUUGUGUGUAACGGGAGCCUCAGAACAGGAAUGGGGUGAGCAGCGUGCUGCCUCGGCCGGCUGGAUUGUUUGGGAAGACUGGGGCUGGGCUGACAUUUAAAGCUGCUUUGUUUGAUUUUUCUUGUAAACCAGUUCCACCAAAUGUGAGAGCCGGGUUUAUUUUGAAGUCUAGCUGGUGGCUUCGGGGAAGCAGAUGUUUAAGUAGCUCGCUCCCGCUGAAAUGUGUCAACGUUUUGUGUGCUGCUAUUUCCAUGGAAACAGGCAGCCACGGUUUCAUCACUUCUUUGGGCCCCCACCUGAAGUACCUGAAAUAGGUGUUGACUGAGAGCUGCGGAUUGCCGAUGGCAAACUGUGCUUUUUUAAAGAAACCAUGAAGUGGCUCAUGAAACCCCGUGCGGGUAACUUGGAGUUGGUGACCUUCAGCGGCAUGUGAAGUUGAAGCAAGCCCCACUUCCCUGGGCUGCUCUGUUUGCCUUUGGGCACAUUGGCUUUAGGAAUCAUCCGCUUUUACCCCCUCUCACCCUUGCGACAGCAUUAAAAAGUAGGAUUCAACUUGCGGGACUCGUUGCUUCCCAGGAUAUUAUACAGUGAUCGGAUCUUGCAUGGAGUUGAGGACGAGGAGCUCCAGGAAUUCCUGAAAAACGAAGGCGCCUCCAAUCGUCAUCUUGCAUCUUCAGCUGCGCUGUUCAGACGUUGGAAUUUCUUUUCCAGCCCAAGCAUGGUUAGAGACCAAUGCCAAUCACAUAUCCCAGGUCCCGCAGCGGAGCGGUUCCCAGCGGGUGAAGGGCUGUUGGGAGCGAGGCCCGGAGCGGGAGAGGAGGUGCUGCAGGUCUGGAGGCCUGGCCCAAGGACGAGGGAGGAGCAGGGAGCUGCAGGGGAUGACCCCGCUGUCAACGCAGUCUGGAAGAGGCUGCUGGCAUGGCGUGAGGAGGAGGAGGAGGGCAGCGAGGAAAAAUGGCAAGGAGGAACUGGAACGAGAAGGUGGCACGGGACUGACCGGGGGGGUGGAGGAAGCGGCGGGGGCCGUAUGCAAGAGGGGAGAUGGCUUGGGAAACAGCUCUAACAAAGCCACCUACAAACAAACCGACCAUGGGGGAAAAAAAAAA
Molecule: long non-coding RNA, 2249 nt
Organism: Egretta garzetta (little egret)
Lineage: Eukaryota; Metazoa; Chordata; Aves; Pelecaniformes; Ardeidae
Exons: 5
Source: RefSeq, a predicted model, not a curated record